UGAAGACCUCGUGCAUUGUAGC
RNAcentral lists this microRNA (22 nucleotides) under Gallus gallus (chicken). RNAcentral describes it as "gga-miR-6699-5p". The record is from miRBase by way of RNAcentral. Lineage: Eukaryota; Metazoa; Chordata; Aves; Galliformes; Phasianidae.